This 579-nucleotide unclassified non-coding RNA is filed under the name Hevea brasiliensis (rubber tree). The record is from RNAcentral. Lineage: Eukaryota; Viridiplantae; Streptophyta; Magnoliopsida; Malpighiales; Euphorbiaceae.
GAGAUGUUUCGAGUCCAAGGAAAAUACUAAGCUCUUCUUGCUCCUCCAUUAGACAAAUUAGUUAAGAGUAAAACUUGCUUAAGAAGAGAGUUACUUGAGAAUAGAAUACAAUUGGUGGAGACAACCAAUUCAAAGGAAAAUAAUGGAUCCCAGAUCUCUCUUGCUAAACAUGCUGGUUAGGAUUUAAUGCCUAGAUUUUUAGGGCUACUCGAAGGUGGCAAGUAAUGCAAAAAGGUAUCAAGAUAAAUAAUUUAGAUUCCUUGUAACUUUUCCUCCUAUUGGGAAGAACCCAUAAAGCCUUUUUUUUUUAUUUUUCAAAUCCAAAAAUUAUUUUCUUCUCAUAUCAAAGAAAAUUAUUUUACAAAGGGCGUCCAGUGAUGAGAUAUCCCACAUUGCUGGCUCUUGGGAGUGUCGAAUGUACUAUAUCUUCCCUUUGCAUUUCAGCAACUUUACUUCAUUAAAAUCAAUUGUUGAUAUUGUCUUCAUAGGCAUUGGAAUUGUGGAAUUAAAUUCCCAUUUUAACAUUGGCAAUACCAGUUACUUUGAAAUUCCACCUCUUCACUUAUUCCUUCUAAGAUU